Molecule: ribosomal RNA, 435 nt
Filed under: uncultured bacterium
Lineage: Bacteria
Description: bacterial SSU rRNA
Rfam family: Bacterial small subunit ribosomal RNA
Source: RNAcentral
CAGGCCUCACACAUGCAAGUCGAACGCUGUGGCAACACAUAGUGGCAUACGGGUGUAGUCACACGUUGGGCACGUCCCCCUUUGUUCGGAAUCACCUGGGAAACUAGGGCUAAUCACGGAUACGGCCGUGAGGCGAAAGGUUUACCGCUGAGGGAUCGGCCCGCGUCCGAUUAGCUAGUUGGUGUGGUAAUGGCGCACCAAGGCGACGAUCGGUAGCUGGUCUGAUAGGAUGACCAGCCACAUUGGGACUGAGACACGGCCAAACUCCUACGGGAGGCAGCAGUGGGGAAUAUUGGACAAUGGGCGCAAGCCUGAUCCAGCCAUGCCGCGUGAGUGAUGACGGCCUUAGGGUUGUAAAGCUCUUUUACCUGGGAAGAUAAUGACGGUACCAGGAGAAUAAGCCCCGGCUAACUUCGUGCCAGCAGCCGCGGUAAU